AUUGGAUAUAGUACUACCGGAGGAUCU
This 27-nucleotide non-coding RNA is filed under the name Mus musculus (house mouse). Lineage: Eukaryota; Metazoa; Chordata; Mammalia; Rodentia; Muridae. The record is from RNAcentral.